This 460-nucleotide ribosomal RNA is filed under the name uncultured bacterium. RNAcentral's name for it is "partial 16S ribosomal RNA". It matches the Rfam family "Bacterial small subunit ribosomal RNA", at positions 338 to 795 of the family's 1533-position model. The record is from RNAcentral.
CCUACGGGAGGCAGCAGUGAGGAAUAUUGGUCAAUGGACGAGAGUCUGAACCAGCCAAGUAGCGUGAAGGAUGACUGCCCUAUGGGUUGUAAACUUCUUUUAUAAAGGAAUAAAACGAGGCACGUGUGCCUUUUUGCAUGUACUUUAUGAAUAAGGAUCGGCUAACUCCGUGCCAGCAGCCGCGGGAAUACGGAGGAACCGAGCGUUAUCCGGAUUUAUUGGGUUUAAAGGGAGCGUAGAUGGGUUGUUAAGUCAGUUGUGAAAGUUUGCGGCUCAAACGUAAAAUUGCAAUUGAUACUGGCAGUCGUGAGUACAGUUGGGGUAGGCGGAAUUCGUGGUGUAGCGGUGAAAUGCUUAGAUAUCACGAAGAACCCCGAUUGCGAAGGCAGCUUACUAAACUGUGACUGACAUUGAUGCUCGAAAGUGUGGGUAUCAAACAGGUUUAGAUACCCGUGUAGUC